UACGAAGGGGGCUAGCGUUGCUCGGAAUCACUGGGCGUAAAGCGCACGUAGGCGGACUCUUAAGUCGGUGGUGAAAUCCUGGAGCUCAACUCCAGAACUGCCUUCGAUACUGAGAGUCUCGAGUCCGAGAGAGGUGAGUGGAACUGCGAGUGUAGAGGUGAAAUUCGUAGAUAUUCGCAAGAACACCAGUGGCGAAGGCGGCUCACUGGCCCGAUACUGACGCUGAGGUGCGAAAGCGUGGGGAGCAAACAGG
Molecule: ribosomal RNA, 253 nt
Filed under: uncultured bacterium
Lineage: Bacteria
Description: partial 16S ribosomal RNA
Rfam family: Bacterial small subunit ribosomal RNA
Source: RNAcentral